AUGGAACAUCACUUCCCGAACGGGUUUAAACCCAUAAACAUCAAACAGUACGAUGGGACAACCGAUCCAGCUGUCUGGAUCGAAGAUUUCUUCCUCCACAUACACAUGGCUUAUGGGGACGACCUCCAUGCCAUUAAAUACCUGCCGCUCAAACUAAUGGGGCCGGCAAGGCAUUGGCUAAACAGCCCGCCUCCUCACUCCAUUGGGAGUUGGGAGGCUCUCAAAGAUGACUUUAGGGCAAACUUUCAAGGCACCUAUGUCCGACCACCAAACGGCGACGACCUCAGCGACAUCAUCCCAGCCUAG
This 306-nucleotide ribosomal RNA is filed under the name Triticum aestivum (bread wheat). RNAcentral's name for it is "partial small subunit ribosomal RNA". Lineage: Eukaryota; Viridiplantae; Streptophyta; Magnoliopsida; Poales; Poaceae. The record is from RNAcentral.